Molecule: ribosomal RNA, 468 nt
Filed under: uncultured bacterium
Lineage: Bacteria
Description: partial 16S ribosomal RNA
Rfam family: Bacterial small subunit ribosomal RNA
Source: RNAcentral
GACGAACGCUGGCGGCGUGCUUAACACAUGCAAGUCGAACGGAAAGGCCCUGCUUUUGUGGGGUGCUCGAGUGGCGAACGGGUGAGUAACACGUGAGUAACCUGCCCUUGACUUUGGGAUAACUUCAGGAAACUGGGGCUAAUACCGGAUAGGAGCUCCUGCUGCAUGGUGGGGGUUGGAAAGUUUCGGCGGUUGGGGAUGGACUCGCGGCUUAUCAGCUUGUUGGUGGGGUAGUUGCUUACCAAGGCUUUGACGGGUAGCCGGCCUGAGAGGGUGACCGGCCACAUUGGGACUGAGAUACGGCCCAGAAUCCUACGGGAGGCAGCAGUGGGGAAUAUUGCACAAUGGGCGGAAGCCUGAUGCAGCAACGCCGCGUGCGGGAUAACGGCCUUCGGGUUGUAAACCGCUUUCGCCUGUGACGAAGCGUGAGUGACGGUAAUGGGUAAAGAAGCACCGGCUAACUACGUG